GUUAUAGGGAAAGGAAAACAAGGGGCUGUGUCUCCCAUGGUUACAGCUGCUCGACUCACAUUGAUCUGGCCAGCACCUGGACCCCUUCAGAACCCCAGCACAGUACUAAGGAAGUUUGUGGCCACAGAGCUAGCUGGAUCCCCAGGAGCUGAGUGCUGCCAAGAGAGCUGACCCAAGUGACCGAGGCCACCUGCAGCUGCUCUCUCCACUUGCCAUGGGAGCCUCAGCCGAAGAUGUGGGAAUGAAGUAGUCAGGGCAUUUGUUUCCAUGAAAAUCCUCUUUGUGAGGCCGCCUUGGCUGGCUGUGUCCCUCGGCUGAGUGUCCCUGCUCCUCUCAGGCACCCUCUCCCCACGGCUCCUACUUCACUGGUCCCUCAGGGCCUUGGGUGGCAAGAGCUCUGCUUCUGAUGCCUGUGCCAGGCCCCUGCCCUGGGCUUUCCCGGAGCCUUCAGCCCAAACAUACCUGGGUGAUUAGUACUUUUGUAAAUAAAUGCUCUACAAAUUACCCCAACUAAAGUGGACGGGCUCCAAAGUCCACACUGUGACAGCCAUACCUUUAAAGUAACGACUGGCUUCCUCUUUCAUCUGCAUUGACCCUGUUUGCUCAAUGUAAUGUGGUCUUUAAUUCAACGAUUACAUUUUGCAUAUGUAAUAUUUUGACUUGGUUCUUUUCGGUAGUUUCUUUGUCUUAGGUCUUAUUACUAAUAAUAUUUUUCUGUAUCCAAAAA
Homo sapiens (human) is the source of this 727-nucleotide long non-coding RNA. The record is from Ensembl. NCBI's taxonomy places the organism in Eukaryota, Metazoa, Chordata, Mammalia, Primates, Hominidae.